AGUGAACGAUGGCGGUAGGCCUAACACAUGCAAGUCGAACGGCAGCACAGGAGAGCUUGCUCUCUGGGUGGCGAGUGGCGGACGGGUGAGGAGUACAUCGGAAUCUACUCUGUCGUGGGGGAUAACGUAGGGAAACUUACGCUAAUACCGCAUACGACCUACGGGUGAAAGCAGGGGACCUUCGGGCCUUGCGCGAUUGAAUGAGCCGAUGUCGGAUUAGCUAGUUGGCGGGGUAAAGGCCCACCAAGGCGACGAUCCGUAGCUGGUCUGAGGGGAUGAUCAGCGACACUGGAACUGAGACACGGUCCAGACUCCUACGGGAGGCAGCAGUGGGGAAUAUUGGACAAUGGGCGCAAGCCUGAUCCAGCCAUACCGCGUGGGUGAAGAAGGCCUUCGGGUUGUAAAGCCCUUUUGUUGGGAAAGAAAUCCAGCUGGCUAAUACCCGGUUGGGAUGACGGUACCCAAAGAAUAAGCACCGGCUAACUUCGUGCCAGCCGCCGCCGUAA
This 506-nucleotide ribosomal RNA is filed under the name uncultured bacterium. Its description in RNAcentral is "partial 16S ribosomal RNA". It matches the Rfam family "Bacterial small subunit ribosomal RNA", at positions 29 to 523 of the family's 1533-position model. The record is from RNAcentral.